AACGCACAUUGCGCCCGCUAGUAUUCUGGCGGGCAUGCCUGUUCGAGCGUCAUUUCAACCAUCAAGCGCCUGCGCUUGUGUUGGAGCCCUGCGGCUGCCGCAGGCUCCCAAAUCCAGUGGCGGGCUCGUCGUCGUACCGAGUGCAGUAAACUUACCACGCUCAGGGCACGCGACGGGUGACCGGCCGUAAAACCCCCCAUUUUCUCAAGGUUGACCUCGGAUCAGGUAGGAAUACCCGCUGAACUUAA
This 248-nucleotide unclassified non-coding RNA is filed under the name uncultured Lasiosphaeriaceae. RNAcentral describes it as "sequence contains ITS2". The record is from RNAcentral. Lineage: Eukaryota; Fungi; Ascomycota; Sordariomycetes; Sordariales; Lasiosphaeriaceae.